UAACCCCUGCCAGCGCUGGGAAGUGGCAGCUCCCCGGCUGUGGGGGAGCACAGCCCACGACCCCGUGGCUCUGCUCUGCCCUGGAACCCGGCUUCUGCUGCAGCCCACCUGAACGGAGAAAAGAAACAAUUGUUAUCCCUGUCCUUCCCUUUUGCUGCUUCUCUCCCCAACCUCUGAACGUGGGUUUGCGUUUUUCUGCUUGCACUUAGGUCUGGACUCAGAUUGCCCCAAAAACCAAAUGGAUGUAGAUUGCCGAAUAUGCUUGUAUAAUUCAGAGAAAUCUGCAUUCUGGAGGGAUCCCUGUCAAACAUUGGGAAGGAAGAUGAUGGGCUGAAGUGUUUCAGGAGAGACUGUGCAAUCCAAUGUGCCUUUUGUCUCACCACUCCUACUUGCCAGGCACUGGAUGUGGGGUUGAGACACCUAGACCACAUCUCUGCAGAAAGUGAUGGUGGUGCAAGAGCAAGCCUGCAGAUAUCAUUGCUGGAUUGCUGUUUAUUCUUGUGGAUAAAAGAAAAGAUGUGCUUAGCGAAU
Molecule: long non-coding RNA, 531 nt
Organism: Parus major (Great Tit)
Lineage: Eukaryota; Metazoa; Chordata; Aves; Passeriformes; Paridae
Exons: 2
Source: RefSeq, a predicted model, not a curated record